Molecule: non-coding RNA, 714 nt
Organism: Oryzias melastigma (Indian medaka)
Lineage: Eukaryota; Metazoa; Chordata; Actinopteri; Beloniformes; Adrianichthyidae
Source: the annotation of a RefSeq genome assembly
AUGUUUAUGAAUAUUAACUAUUAAAGCAACAAAGAAAAAUUGAUGAACAAAUUAUGAUGAGAAAACAUGUGACAGAAAUUUAACAGAGAAAGUCGCUUAUACAGCAAUAAUAAUUUCAGGAACAGCACUGAAAUAAAUAAUGUAUUAUUAACUGAACUUAAAGUUAAAAAGGGAGAAGUAAAGUGGAAUUAUUUAAUUAAACUUGAAUUGAGUUUUUUUUUUUUUUCAAAUUCAAAUGUGAAUUCUGCUGAAUGUGUUCUGUGAGGUGGAGUCAAUGCAAACAUGGACGUCUUCCUCCUCUACUUAUCUGACAGCAGAGAUGACAGCAGAGAAGACUGAAGUCAGUUUAACAUGAUGGACUGUAGGACAGGACUGCUGCUUUUAACUCUCUGUUAUGCAGUUGUUGAUGGAGUGACUCUGACUGAGUCUGGACCUGUGGUUAAAAGACCUGGAGAAUCCCACAAACUGACCUGUUCAGCCUCUGGAUUCACUUUCAGCAGCUAUCCCAUGAACUGGAUCAGACAGGCUCCUGGAAAAGGACUGGAGUGGAUCGCUUAUAUCAGCAGUGGCAGCAGCAGCAUCUACUACUCAGAGUCAGUGAAAAACCGCUUCACCAUCUCCAGAGACAACAGCAGAGAGCAGGUGUAUCUGCAGAUGAACAGUCUGAGAGCUGAGGAUUCUGCUGUUUAUUACUGCGCUCAAGAGACACAGUGA